CCUACGGGAGGCAGCAGUGGGGGAUAUUGCACAAUGGGGGGAACCCUGAUGCAGCGACGCCGCGUGGGUGAAGAAGCGCCUCGGCGCGUAAAGCCCUGUCAGCAGGGAAGAAAAUGACGGUACGUGAAGAAGAAGCACCGGCUAACUACGUGCCAGAAGCAGCGGUAAUAUGUAGGGGGCAAGCGUUAUCCGGAUUGACUGGGUGUAAAGGGGGCGCAGACGGGGAUGCAAGCCAGUAGUGAAAGCCCGGGGCCCAACCCCGGGACUGCUCUUGGAACUGCGUGGCUGGAGUGCAGGUGGGGCAGGCGGAAUUCCUGGUGUAGCGGUGAAAUGCGUAGAUAUCAGGAGGAACACCGGUGGCGAAGGCAGCCUGCUAGACUGCAACUGACGUUGAGGCCCGAAAGUGUGGGGAGCAAACAGGAUUAGAUACCCUAGUAGUC
This 440-nucleotide ribosomal RNA is filed under the name uncultured bacterium. RNAcentral describes it as "partial 16S ribosomal RNA". It matches the Rfam family "Bacterial small subunit ribosomal RNA", at positions 338 to 795 of the family's 1533-position model. The record is from RNAcentral.